CCUACGGGGGGCAGCAGUAGGGAAUUUUCGGCAAUGGGCGAAAGCCUGACCGAGCAACGCCGCGUGAGUGAUGAAGGCCUUCGGGUUGUAAAGCUCUGUUGUAGAGGAAGAACCGCCAGGAUAGGAAAUGAUCUUGGCUUGACGGUACUCUGCCAGAAAGCAACGGCUAACUACGUGCCAGCAGCCGCGGUAAUACGUAGGUUGCAAGCGUUAUCCGGAAUUAUUGGGCGUAAAGGGUGCGUAGGCGGUUACGUGUGUCUAAGGUGAAAUUCCAG
RNAcentral lists this ribosomal RNA (275 nucleotides) under uncultured bacterium. RNAcentral describes it as "partial 16S ribosomal RNA". It matches the Rfam family "Bacterial small subunit ribosomal RNA", at positions 338 to 605 of the family's 1533-position model. The record is from RNAcentral.